GUAAAUAUGAUACAAACAGGUGUCGAAGUACUUAAUAGGGAAGUUCGGUGUAAGACCGACACAGCCCCCGCUACUGUGAGUGAGGAUGAAAUUGGCAAAUAGCCACUUGUUAUAUACAAGGAAGGCGCCGAAAGUAAGUAGAUUCACGAGUCAGGAGACCUGCCUGUUUUGAUCUGCUGUA
Molecule: non-coding RNA, 181 nt
Filed under: Geosporobacter ferrireducens
Lineage: Bacteria; Bacillati; Bacillota; Clostridia; Peptostreptococcales; Thermotaleaceae
Source: RNAcentral